RNAcentral lists this ribosomal RNA (535 nucleotides) under uncultured bacterium. Its description in RNAcentral is "bacterial SSU rRNA". It matches the Rfam family "Bacterial small subunit ribosomal RNA", at positions 777 to 1301 of the family's 1533-position model. The record is from RNAcentral.
AAUAGAUACCCAGGUAGUCCACGCCGUAAACGAUGGAUGCUAGCUAUUGGGGGGGAAUCGACCCCCUCCGAAGCGAAGCUAACGCGUUAAGCAUCCCGCCUGAGUAGUACGAGCGCAAGCUUAAAACUCAAAGGAAUUGACGGGGGCCCGCACAAGCAGCGGAGCAUGUGGUUUAAUUCGAAGCAACGCGAAGAACCUUACCUAGACUUGACAUCUCCUGCAUUACUCUUAAUCGAGGAAGUUCUCCCUUCGGGGAGGACAGGAAGACAGGUGGUGCAUGGUUGUCGUCAGCUCGUGUCGUGAGAUGUUGGGUUAAGUCCCGCAACGAGCGCAACCCUUAUUGUUAGUUGCUACCAUUUAGUUGAGCACUCUAGCAAGACUGCCGUGGUUAACGCGGAGGAAGGUGGGGAUGACGUCAAAUCAUCAUGCCCCUUAUGUCUAGGGCUACACACGUGCUACAAUGGCGAGUACAAAGAGACGCAAAGCCGCGAGGUGGAGCAAAAACUUAUAAAACCCCGGUCUCAGUUCGGAUUGC